This 1450-nucleotide long non-coding RNA is filed under the name Heterocephalus glaber (naked mole-rat). Its description in RNAcentral is "lncRNA (ENSHGLG00100037664.1)". Lineage: Eukaryota; Metazoa; Chordata; Mammalia; Rodentia; Bathyergidae. The record is from RNAcentral.
AUCAGCUUGUUUCCUUUGUUUUGCAAUCUCCAGAAACUCUUCAGUAAAUGCACGUUUAUACAUCAUCUUUGUCUGCUCCUUGGACUUUUGCUUGGGGUAAAUGCUGUUACACAGUCAUAAAUCUGAGGGCUGGCUUUAUGAAACCCAAAUUCUCUAAUCUGUUGAACCUGCACACUCCGUCUCUAAGGCUCUGCCCACUUUGCUCGGGGAUUCUGCUAGGGCAGUGGUGGUGAAACUUUGACACUUGCACUGCAGCAGACUGUCUCAUUAAAAGCUCUAAAAGGUUCGCCAUCACUGUGCCAGGUUCUCAGCCACCAACCAAGUCUAGAGGAAGGGAUGGGAGGGGUCUGAGUGGAUGAGAAGAAGCCUAAGUGGGCCAUUGUUCUGGGCCGGAUGGGGUUGGAAGUUGGUGGGAAGGUUGACAGAGAAGGCACAGUCACAACUGACCUGGUUUUGCAUCAACACGGACUGGGUCUGUCUGCACUGGCGGAGGGCACUCAGCCUCACUUGGGUAGAUGAGCUCCAAGGGUGUGAGAGACCAAGACCUCCAGCAGUGAGCUCUCCUCAGGAACUUUUUCUGGAAGACUCUCAGAGCUCCAGGGAGAAAUGUGGGGCUGACCUGAAUGGAUGUCAAAAGAGAAUCCCUGGCGGAUGGAAGUCUGGACAACAGAAAACCAAUCUGCAGUUACACAAUACAGAGAAGCAAAGUUGCUGCGAUGUGUGAUGUUACCCUCCUGUAAAUGACAGAAUCCUGUUCAGAGGCAGCACCCCGCAGGAGGAGUUAGCACCGCGCAGACGUGAUGCAGCAUUAUAACGAUGCCCUACUUACCAGUUCCUGUUUUUUAUGACUGAAUGGAUGCUUGGACCUGCUUGGGGCUAUAUAAAGGGUUUUCCUGCCCUUGCCACACUCAGCCUGUCUUUGCCAAGACAAUUCCCAGGAGGGACUUAUACCUGUGAACAGGAACUGACAAAGAAGCAACUCAGCCCAAAAGUUUCCCAGGCUCCUGGGCUGUAGUAUGACCACCCUGUGACUCAUUUGGAUAAAGUAGGGCUCAACAGAUAUUUAUCAAAUGAACAAAUGAAUGAGAGGGUGGGUGAAUGAGUGUUUCCAUGAGUGGGCAGCCACUCCCUCCGGGAAUGAGAGUGCUUCCUACUCCAGAAUGUUGAGUGCUUUCGAAGGAAGUCCUCUGGGGCUUUCCUGAUGAGUGCUCCAUGAAGAAGCCACAGUUGUCUCCUCAAUUCAUUGUGGGGAGUCUUAGAUUUCUUUGGAACCCUAAAUGCUAAACUUCCUACUGGUAUAUAAUAGCUGCUCAAUAAAUGUGUGUUGAUGCAUUGUUUCUCCGGUGUGAGAAACUGAAAGUGGAAAUAAAGACUAAAAUAAAUAAAUAAAUACAUACAUACAUACAUAAAUAUGUGUUGAAUUGAAGGGGGAGCUAGAAAGAGAAAGAAG